GGAGCCAGCCGGACCAUCGCGCCGGCUUCGACGAGGCCGGUGAGGAAAGUCCGAACACCACAGGGCACCGUGCUUCCUAACGGGAAGGCCCGCCCACAGGGGCGGUGACGGCACGUGCAACAGAGAGCAGACCAGCCGAUGGCCCUUCGGGGCACAGGUGAUGGGUGAAACGGUGGGGUAAGAGCCCACCAGCGUCCCGGGUGACCGGGGCGGCUAGGUAAACCCCACGGGGUGCAAGGCCAAACAGCGCUGCACCGGCCCCGGCCGGAUAAGGUGGCCCGCCGAAUCGCAGCGCGGGUAGGCUGCUAGAGGCCGCCGGUGACGGCGGUCCCAGAUAAAUGAUGGUCUCCCCGGCCCCGGCGCGGCGGUCGCCGACCGGGCAGACAGAAUUCGGCUUACAGGCUGGCUCCAGCC
Molecule: non-coding RNA, 414 nt
Organism: Rhodothermaceae bacterium RA
Lineage: Bacteria; Pseudomonadati; Rhodothermota; Rhodothermia; Rhodothermales; Rhodothermaceae
Rfam family: Bacterial RNase P class A
About the family: Ribonuclease P (RNase P) is a ubiquitous endoribonuclease, found in archaea, bacteria and eukarya as well as chloroplasts and mitochondria. Its best characterised activity is the generation of mature 5'-ends of tRNAs by cleaving the 5'-leader elements of precursor-tRNAs.
Source: Rfam